GAGGAAUAUUGGUCAAUGGACGGAAGUCUGAACCAGCCAAGUAGCGUGCAGGAUGACGGCCCUAUGGGUUGUAAACUGCUUUUGUAUGGGGAUAAAGUUAGGGACGUGUCCCUAUUUGCAGGUACCAUACGAAUAAGGACCGGCUAAUUCCGUGCCAGCAGCCGCGGUAAUACGGAAGGUCCAGGCGUUAUCCGGAUUUAUUGGGUUUAAAGGGAGCGUAGGCUGGAGAUUAAGUGUGUUGUGAAAUGUAGACGCUCAACGUCUGAAUUGCAGCGCAUACUGGUUUCCUUGAGUACGCACAACGUUGGCGGAAUUCGUCGUGUAGCGGUGAAAUGCUUAGAUAUGACGAAGAACUCCGAUUGCGAAGGCAGCUUACGGGAGCACAACUGACGCUGAAGCUCGAAGGUGCGGGUAUCAAACAGGAUUAGAUACCCUGGUAGUCCGCACAGUAAACGAUGGAUGCCCGUUGUUAGUUCACUUUAGAAUUAGCGACCAAGCGAAAGCAUUAAGCAUCCCACCUGGGGAGUACGCCGGCAACGGUG
This 542-nucleotide ribosomal RNA is filed under the name uncultured bacterium. RNAcentral describes it as "bacterial SSU rRNA". It matches the Rfam family "Bacterial small subunit ribosomal RNA", at positions 356 to 896 of the family's 1533-position model. The record is from RNAcentral.